GCCUCAGUAACGGCGAGUGAAGCGGCAACAGCUCAAAUUUGAAAUCUGGCCUUCUGGUCCGAGUUGUAAUUUGUAGAGGAUGUUUCGAACGUGGUCCGGUCUAAGUUUCUUGGAACAGAACGUCAUAGAGGGUGAGAAUCCCGUAUGCGACUGGGUGCCUAAGUUCAUGUGAAGCUCCUUCGACGAGUCGAGUUGUUUGGGAAUGCAGCUCAAAAUGGGUGGUAAAUUUCAUCUAAAGCUAAAUAUUGGCCAGAGACCGAUAGCGCACAAGUAGAGUGAUCGAAAGAUGAAAAGCACUUUGGAAAGAGAGUUAAACAGUACGUGAAAUUGUUGAAAGGGAAGCGCUUGCAACCAGACUUGCAUGCAGUUGAUCAUCCGAUGUUCUCACCGGUGCACUCGAUUGUAUUCAGGCCAGCAUCGGUUUUGGUGGUUAGAUAAAGGCCUUGGGAAUGUAGCUUCUUUCGGGGA
Molecule: ribosomal RNA, 468 nt
Filed under: Alatospora acuminata
Lineage: Eukaryota; Fungi; Ascomycota; Leotiomycetes; Leotiales; Leotiaceae
Description: partial large subunit ribosomal RNA
Rfam family: Eukaryotic large subunit ribosomal RNA
Source: RNAcentral